CAUUCAGCUCAAGUCAGUUUUGUUGUGAGUCUAAAAUAUCCUGCAAACAGCCUGAAUAAGUUACCUGAAAUCGCAUACACUGUUGUGCUGAAACGCGCAUAAAAAUGAUAACUUUUCUUGUUUAGAAAGCCUCAACAGUCAUCAAAAGAGCAGAAAAUCCACCAUAAUAGCUGUCAUUCCACUGGUUCUUAUGGGAGUUAUUAAUGAAUUUAAUCUUGUGAAAAGUUUGAUGACCGGAACUUCUUCUGUACGCCGACCUGCAAGAAUAAGGAGCACAUGGUCCAUCAAUAGAGCUCUUACAUUUUCUUUGAUGAUGCAUUCAUCAUGAUACUCUGUGGAUUGUUGUGAUGAAAAAGAACUGAUAGAGUUUAUAGUGCUGUAAAAGACUUUAUAAAAUGAUUGAAGUCAGUUAAAUCAACAGGUGUACAUACUGAGUUUGGUAGAAUAGUGUAUACCUCUCUACAAUGUAAUUACUGAUUAAUUUUGUCUCCCUGGUACUAUACAAAGAUGAUGGUAGUAAUUUUUGUAUCAGAUAUUUCUUCAUAAAACAUAUAUUGUCUGAAAGCGACUUUCUUUUGUCUAUAGAUAAAACAAUAUAUUUUGAUGUUGCGUAGUGAAGUA
This is a long non-coding RNA of Xenia sp. Carnegie-2017, 621 nucleotides long. RefSeq lists it as uncharacterized. The record is from RefSeq and is a predicted model, not a curated record. The transcript has 4 exons. NCBI's taxonomy places the organism in Eukaryota, Metazoa, Cnidaria, Anthozoa, Malacalcyonacea, Xeniidae.